AUUGAACGCUGGCGGCAGGCCUAACACAUGCAAGUCGAGCGGAUGACAGGAGCUUGCUCCUGAAUUCAGCGGCGGACGGGUGAGUAAUGCCUAGGAAUCUGCCUGGUAGUGGGGGACAACGUUUCGAGAGGAACGCUAAUACCGCAUACGUCCUACGGGAGAAAGCAGGGGACCUUCGGGCCUUGCGCUAUCAGAUGAGCCUAGGUCGGAUUAGCUAGUUGGUGAGGUAAUGGCUCACCAAGGCGACGAUCCGUAACUGGUCUGAGAGGAUGAUCAGUCACACUGGAACUGAGACACGGUCCAGACUCCUACGGGAGGCAGCAGUGGGGAAUAUUGGACAAUGGGCGAAAGCCUGAUCCAGCCAUGCCGCGUGUGUGAAGAAGGUCUUCGGAUUGUAAAGCACUUUAAGUUGGGAGGAAGGGCAUUAACCUAAUACGUUAGUGUUUUGACGUUACCGACAGAAUAAGCACCGGCUAACUCUGUGCCAGCAGCCGCGGUAAUACAGAGGGUGCAAGCGUUAAUCGGAAUUACUGGGCGUAAAGCGCGCGUAGGUGGUUUGUUAAGUUGGAUGUGAAAUCCCCGGGCUCAACCUGGGAACUGCAUUCAAAACUGACAAGCUAGAGUAUGGUAGAGGGUGGUGGAAUUUCCUGUGUAGCGGUGAAAUGCGUAGAUAUAGGAAGGAACACCAGUGGCGAAGGCGACCACCUGGACUGAUACUGACACUGAGGUGCGAAAGCGUGGGGAGCAAACAGG
RNAcentral lists this ribosomal RNA (753 nucleotides) under uncultured bacterium. RNAcentral's name for it is "bacterial SSU rRNA". It matches the Rfam family "Bacterial small subunit ribosomal RNA", at positions 28 to 776 of the family's 1533-position model. The record is from RNAcentral.